Molecule: ribosomal RNA, 504 nt
Filed under: uncultured bacterium
Lineage: Bacteria
Description: bacterial SSU rRNA
Rfam family: Bacterial small subunit ribosomal RNA
Source: RNAcentral
GAUGAACGCUGGCGGCGUGCUUAACACAUGCAAGUCGAACGGGACUAUUUUCAAACGAAGCUUCGGCCGAGGGAGGAUUUAGUCUAGUGGCGGACGGGUGAGUAACGCGUGAGCAAUCUGCCUUCAAGAGGGGGACAACAGCUGGAAACGGCUGCUAAUACCGCAUAACAUAUAUUUGUGGCAUCACAGAUAUAUCAAAGGAGAAAUCCGCUUGAAGAUGAGCUCGCGUCCCAUUAGCUAGUUGGCGGGGUAGAGGCCCACCAAGGCGACGAUGGGUAGCCGGACUGAGAGGUUGAACGGCCACAUUGGGACUGAGACACGGCCCAGACUCCUACGGGAGGCAGCAGUGGGGAAUAUUGCGCAAUGGGGGAAACCCUGACGCAGCAACGCCGCGUGAUUGAAGAAGGCCUUCGGGUUGUAAAGAUCUUUAAUCAGGGACGAAGGAAGUGACGGUACCUGAAGAAUAAGCUCCGGCUAACUACGUGCCAGCCGCCGCUGUAAAAC